Molecule: transfer RNA, 73 nt
Filed under: Gammaproteobacteria bacterium
Lineage: Bacteria; Pseudomonadati; Pseudomonadota; Gammaproteobacteria
Description: tRNA-Thr
Source: RNAcentral
GUCGGGCACAGAGGCCGAGAGCGCGUCCCCCGUAACGACGAUGUUCGCGGUUCGAUCCCGUGUUCCGGCACCA